This is a non-coding RNA of Microcebus murinus (gray mouse lemur), 1247 nucleotides long. The record is from RefSeq and is a predicted model, not a curated record. NCBI's taxonomy places the organism in Eukaryota, Metazoa, Chordata, Mammalia, Primates, Cheirogaleidae.
CUGGGUGUCUUCUCCCCGCGUCCCUCCCAUACUUGCCUCCGGGCUGGGUCUGCAAGGGGUUCCCAGAUCUCCAGAGUAGAGGUUGGGCCCGGCCCCGGAGAUACGUUGGCUCCAUCCUCCGCCGGCCUCCUCGCCCCAGUUUGAGUGCCCGGGGAGCCCCCAGGCCAGCGGAGACUGAGCUCUCGGGUUGUAGUUCGCGUCUUCACUUUGUGUCAGACUGUGCGGGGGCAGAAGAAGGGAUUCGGGUCUAGGCUGUCGGCCCCAGCUCCCUUGCCGGCCAGGGGGCCCCGGAACCCCAUUGAGGCAGCAGGUCACUUCCUGCUUCCUGGUCCCCACGGUGGCUUCGUGGCCGGGAGUGCAGGGACGCCUCCUCUUUCUCCGCCUCGGUCUCUGAAGCGUGGAAACUGAGGCGGAUUGAGGGUGGGGCGGUCAAAUUGGGUUCCAAAAGAAAUGUCAUACCGCAGAGAAUUGCUGUUCGUAACCAAACCAAACUUGUUUGAGGUUGGAGAGCGAGGAAUGGGGAGGUUAGCUGGAGUUGUCCCUUGGUCUGAAACCUAGCCCCUUUGGCUAGAGCGGAACCUUGAUCGGGAGCCCAGCCCCUCCGUAGUCCCCAAGCUAUUGAAGCCCGUCUGUUGGAGUUGAGAUGGAGCAUACUUCGUUCACGUAAAGUUUCAGUUACUGUGUAACACAUAAAAGUGCAAAGUUAAGAAAAUUGAAGUCCAAGACCAUGGGAGAUACAGCAAAACCUUAUUUUGUGAAGCGCACAAAAGACCGAGGAACUGUGGAUGAUGAUGAUUUCAGAAGGGGUCACCUCCAACAAGAUUAUUUAAUAAUGGAUGAUUAUGCUAAAGGCCAUAUCAGUAAAAUGGAAAAGGGCCUUCCAAAAAAAAAGAUGGCACCAGGGAACUAUGGGAAUACCCCCAGAAAAGGACCAUAUACUGUUUCUAGCAAUCCAUAUGCAUUUAAAAACCCAAUCUACAGUCAACCUGCUUGGGUAAAUGACAACCACAAAGAUCAAAGUAAGAGAUGGCUAUCUGAUGAACUUACUGGUAAUUCAGACAAUUGGAGAGAAUUCAAACCUGGACCUAGAAUUCCUGUUAUAAGCCGACCUAGGAAAGACUCCUUUCAAGAAACUGAAGAUGGUUAUAGGUGGCAAGAUGCAAGAGGCUGCAGAACUGUAAGACGACUGUUUCAUAAAGACCUAACAAGCCUUGAAACCAUGUCAGAAAUGGAAGCAGGAAGUCCUG